ACGGAAGGCAGCAGUGAGGAAUAUUGGUCAAUGGAGGCAACUCUGAACCAGCCAUCUCGCGUGAAGGAAUACGGCCCUACGGGUCUUAAACUUCUUUUAUAGGGGGAUAAAGUGAGAUACGCGUAUCUUUUUGUAGGUACCCUAUGAAUAAGCAUCGGCUAACUCCGUGCCAGCAGCCGCGGUAAUACGGAGGAUGCGAGCGUUAUCCGGAUUUAUUGGGUUUAAAGGGUGCGCAGGCGGCACGUUAAGUCAGCGGUGAAAUGCAGGGGCUCAACCCCGGCACUGCCGUUGAAACUGGCGAGCUCGAGUACGGAUGAAGUCGGCGGAAUGUGAUGUGUAGCGGUGAAAUGCUUAGAUAUGUCACAGAACCCCGAUUGCGAAGGCAGCUUACCAGCAUACAACUGACGCUGAGGCACGAAAGCGUGGGUAUCAAACAGGAUUAGAUACCCUGGUA
RNAcentral lists this ribosomal RNA (454 nucleotides) under uncultured Porphyromonadaceae bacterium. Its description in RNAcentral is "partial 16S ribosomal RNA". It matches the Rfam family "Bacterial small subunit ribosomal RNA", at positions 341 to 792 of the family's 1533-position model. Lineage: Bacteria; Pseudomonadati; Bacteroidota; Bacteroidia; Bacteroidales; Porphyromonadaceae. The record is from RNAcentral.